AAGUAGAAUUACAAUCAGAGAGAAGGCUCUGGAACGAGAACAAUCAGAACAGAUUGGAGUGAUGUGGGCAAUAAGGCACGGAAUACCAACAGCCUCUAGAAGCCGGAAGAAGCAGGAACAGAUUCUGCCUUGGAGUCCAGAUGGAACCAGCCCUGCUAACACCUUGAUGUUAGCCUGGUUGACAGAUCCUUCUGAGGGAACAGAAACAACGUAUCAUCCCACACAAUUCUGGGGUUACCUUCUCAUUUUGCUGACGCUACCUCUAAAGAAGAGAAGAUCAUAGCUGACGUGUGACUGGGCUCCUGUCUAUGUGCAGAUGAUGGAAGUGGCCAUACUGGAAGGCACGAAGAUGUCCAGAAGAAGAGACAGACAGAACACCUUGCAUUCAAGGAACUCUGAGAGACCUCUCAUGAUAUUGAAGGUAGACAAAAUGAAUGAAGGAGGACAAUUUGGAGAAGCACUGUUUUCAGCAAUAAUCUUACAUAUGAGGGGAAACCAGUAUUGUGAGAAGACUCAGAAAACCCUUGGAGAGGCUCACAUGGGGAGGAGGAACUGAGACCUGCCAAAAGCAGUGACCUUGGAAAGUAAUCCUUCCCACUGAGCCUUGAGAUGCCUCCAGCUCCAGGCAACAGCCUGACCGAAACUUCGUGAGAGACUCGUAGGCAGAAUCACCCAGCGAAGCCUUGUGGAACAGCCGCUGAUCCUCAGGAACAGCGAGAUAGUGUUUUUUUUUUUGUGUGCACUGCUAAGUUCGGGGUCAUUUGCUUUGCAGCAAUAGGUAACUAAUACACUUAUAGUUCCUUACUUUCUCUUCUACUAAAGUAUAAACUUUUGGAAGACAAGCAUACCUGCUACUGAUAUUCCAUUUUUAGUCAAGGUAAUACGUGCCUACAGCUGUAAAAAUAAAACCUCAAAAAACUUAGUGCAAUAAGAAUUUACUUUUUCCUAACACCAAAUCCAAUAUAGGUAUAUUUCUCUAAGUGGUGAUUCAGGUGUUUAGGCUCCUGAUAUCUUUUGGCUCCAUUGUUCGUUAGUCACCUCAGAGGCAUAUGUUACUUUCCUUGCAUCUGGAGAGCUGAGAAACAAAAACAGAGUAAAAGAGGCAUGUUGGUUCUUUAAUGUCUUGGAAUGGAAGAGAGCCAUUGAAUUUCACUCAUAUUUCAUUCCUUUUAGAACUCAAUCACAUGGAUCCAUCUAGUCAGUCACACAGAAGGCUAAAAAAUACAGUUUUCUUUUGUUCCUAAGGAGGAAAAGAACCAGAUAUGGGAAAAAACUAGCAAUGUCUUCCACAAGUUUCUAAACUUUAUAACAUUUAAGUCAGUGUUCUAUAAAAUUAGUGCUCUAAAGAAUUUGUUGAAUGAAUGGAUGAAUAAACUAAUGAAUUAUCAUAGAAUAAAAUUUUAUUU
This is a long non-coding RNA of Felis catus (domestic cat), 1406 nucleotides long. RefSeq lists it as uncharacterized. The transcript has 5 exons. NCBI's taxonomy places the organism in Eukaryota, Metazoa, Chordata, Mammalia, Carnivora, Felidae. The record is from RefSeq and is a predicted model, not a curated record.